UUUAAACUUUAUUGGACUACACCCUGAUUUUUUGUGGGAAAAUACCACCUGGACGCUGUGUAGUGAGCAAUACCCUCAUUUGUUCCAUAAGUGAACGACAAGCCAGUGAGCCCAUACGGCAGGGCUGAUAUCAUCCUGACCUUCUGUAUCCAGCUGAAGAUGCCACAUAACCUUAGGUAGGGAUUAUACCGUCCAGGUGCAACCUGAUAGAACUAUGCUAGCUCUACAAACUGUGAGUGCAAAUCCUUUUUUCUUAUUUUCAAUUGUCACAUGAUAAACUACACUAUAUCUUUCUAUAUUUUCUGUAUCCACAUAUUCUACUACUUCUGGAAACACUUCUACCUCAAGAAAUACAUCAAAGCACUGCCCCCUCUUCUUACCGGUUUGUACAUUUUAUUGGACCUGAUUGAGAGACUCUGGUUUGGGUGCUGUGGCUGCCAACCUGUUUAAAUAGAGCUUGAGACCAAGCUCAUAUAUAUUCCGAGACAUGAGUAUAAGGCUAAUGUGAGUAUGGCUCGUUAGAUAGGAGUAUAAGACUUAUGUGAGUGUGGCCAAUUAGAUACGAAUAUAAGGCUAUGUGAGUGCGGCUAGCUAGAUAGAAUUAUAAGGCUAAUGUGAGUGUUGCUAGUCAGAUCUGAGUAUGAGGCUAAUGUGUGUGAGGUUGAGGCUAGUCAGAUAUGAGUAUGAGGCUAAUGUGUGUGAGGUUGAGGCUAGUUAGAUAUGCACCUGAGGCAAAUUACAGCUGUAUGAGAGCACGGCUAGUUAAAGGGACACUUCCGACACCAAAACAACUUAAGCUAAAUUAGGUUGUUAUGGUACCAGGAGGACCCCGGAGGCCCUCUUACCUCAAUGAUUUAACCCCAUAGUGCCACCAAUCUCAGCCAAUCAGUGACUCCCCAUUUACAGAACUGGCUUGGCCAGAAACGUACCUUUUCCAAUCCAGUUCUAUGGAUGGGGAAUCAUUGAUAUGAGUUCAUCAGCUGACCGCUCUCAUAUAAUCAGCGCAGCCCCUGCCCUACGGUAAUCCGCUCUUCCUCAAAGGAAAAUUUCAGAAGCCGGAUGCCGCCAGGGGAAUGCCGAGUUUGCUGCAGGAGUAAACUUUGGGGUUAAGUCGUUCGAGAACGGUUAACCCCUUGAGGUAAGAGUGCCUCCGGGAGCCUCCAGGCACCUUGAG
This is a non-coding RNA of Pelobates cultripes (western spadefoot toad), 1174 nucleotides long. The record is from the annotation of a GenBank genome assembly. NCBI's taxonomy places the organism in Eukaryota, Metazoa, Chordata, Amphibia, Anura, Pelobatidae.